UACAGAGGUGGCAAGCGUUGUUCGGAAUUACUGGGCGUAAAGGGCGCGUAGGCGGUCUUUUAAGUCUCGUGUGAAAUCCCUCGGCUCAACUGAGGAACUGCACGGGAUACUGGAUGACUUGAGUUCGGGAGAGGUGAGUGGAACUGCGAGUGUAGAGGUGAAAUUCGUAGAUAUUCGCAAGAACACCAGUGGCGAAGGCGGCUCACUGGCCCGAUACUGACGCUGAGGCACGAAAGCGUGGGGAGCAAACAGG
Molecule: ribosomal RNA, 253 nt
Filed under: uncultured bacterium
Lineage: Bacteria
Description: partial 16S ribosomal RNA
Rfam family: Bacterial small subunit ribosomal RNA
Source: RNAcentral